Molecule: long non-coding RNA, 906 nt
Filed under: Vigna radiata
Lineage: Eukaryota; Viridiplantae; Streptophyta; Magnoliopsida; Fabales; Fabaceae
Description: long non-coding RNA (VRAD_LNC017457)
Source: RNAcentral
UUAUAAUAAUAAUAAUAAUCAUAAUAAUAAUAAUAAUAAUAAUAAUAAUAAUAAUAAUAAUAAUGAUUAAUAUUAUUAUUGUUUUCUUCUCUCUUUACAAUACAAUUUAAUUUUAUCAGUUAAUAUCAGGUAACCACUAAUCCCACACCCGAAACCAGGCACAAAUAAACUUUCUUAUUGUUGCAGCUAAUAAAUUUUAUUUUAGAUCAACUCUGGGCCUGCGGCCCAAAUAGGUUCUCACAAUACCAACCACCCCAGAUUCACUCCCGACCCAAAAAGAAUUUCGCCGCUGCGGAAUGGUCAUUCGGCGUAACACCACUUGGCCAAGCCAAUCUACGGCCAGUCAUCGCAACCUCCAUGGCUGCACCACUCUCGCAACUCUGACAACCUCAACAAAACACAGAACUUGCACGCAUCACAGAAAUGGGAAGCAUCACAACCCAACAGAAUUUUUCCAAUUCAAAACCCUAUCCCUAAAAUUAGAGAACAAAAGGAACCCCAAAAGUCAAAACUCCCAAAUUUCCCAAUUUUAGAACAAGCUCAGGAACCCUAAAGUGCGAAAUCGGGACACGAAUCACUCAACUGCAACGCCGACCUUCCUCGCAACAUGUUCACACCCAACCUCCGUCCUUAUACGAAAAUAGGAAAAAUCCCUAAGCCCAAACGAAAAACGGAGGAAGGUGGAGGGGAAGGAACUUGCGCUGCGAAUCCGAACGGCCAGCGUCCUCACUUAGUCGUCACGAACUCGUAACACCAUCACUCCAUCAUCGCCUCGCCACUGCUCGCGGAAAAGGAGAAGAGAAAGGAAAGAACUUCCUUCUGUCGUGCACGUUUCAAGACAAGAGAAAAUAGAAAAGGAACAAAAUGAGUCACCGCAAGCGUGACCCCCCCUUCCAAAAGAAUGAG